AGUGAACGCUGGCGGCAGGCCUAACACAUGCAAGUCGAACGGCAGCACCGUAAGUGCUUGCUCUUACGGGUGGCGAGUGGCGGACGUGUGAGGAAUGUAACGUAAUCUACUUUUUCGUGGGGGUUAACGUAGCGAAACUUACUCUAAUACCGCAUACCACCCACGGGUGUAAGCAGUGGAUCUUCUGACCUUGUGCGAUUGAAUGAGCCGAUGUGGGAUUGGCUAGUUGGCGGGGUGAAGGCCCACCAAGGCGACGAUCCGUAGCUGGACUGAGUGGAUGGUCGGCCGCACUGGAAGUGAGACGCGGACCAUGGUCCUACGGGAGGCAGCAGUGGGGAAUAGUGGACAGUGGGCGCGAGCAUGGCCCAGCGGUACCGCGUGGGUGAAGAAGACCUUCGGGUUGUAAAGCCCUUUUGUUGGGAAUGAAAAGCAGCAGCUUAAUACCACGCGGUACUGACGGUACCCGAAGAAGAAGCACCGGCUAACUUCGUG
Molecule: ribosomal RNA, 492 nt
Filed under: uncultured bacterium
Lineage: Bacteria
Description: partial 16S ribosomal RNA
Rfam family: Bacterial small subunit ribosomal RNA
Source: RNAcentral